This 454-nucleotide ribosomal RNA is filed under the name uncultured bacterium. RNAcentral's name for it is "partial 16S ribosomal RNA". It matches the Rfam family "Bacterial small subunit ribosomal RNA", at positions 28 to 507 of the family's 1533-position model. The record is from RNAcentral.
GAUGAACGCUGACAGAAUGCUUAACACAUGCAAGUCAACUUGAACUUCGGUUUGGGUGGCGGACGGGUGAGUAACGCGUACAGAACUUGCCUCACAGCUAGGGACAACAUUUGGAAACGAAUGCUAAUACCUGAUAUUAUGAUUAUAUGGCAUCGUAUAAUUAUGAAAGCUAUAUGCGCUGUGAGAGAGCUUUGCGUCCCAUUAGCUAGUUGGAGAGGUAACAGCUCACCAAGGCGAUGAUGGGUAGCCGGCCUGAGAGGGUGAUCGGCCACAAGGGGACUGAGACACGGCCCUUACUCCUACGGGAGGCAGCAGUGGAGAAUAUUGGACAAUGGACCGAGAGUCUGAUCCAGCAAUUCUGUGAGCACGAUGAAGUUUUUCGGAAUGUAAAGUGCUUUCAGUUGGGAAGAAAAAAAUGACGGUACCAACAGAAGAAGUGACGGCUAAAUACGUG